RNAcentral lists this ribosomal RNA (423 nucleotides) under uncultured bacterium. RNAcentral describes it as "bacterial SSU rRNA". It matches the Rfam family "Bacterial small subunit ribosomal RNA", at positions 355 to 775 of the family's 1533-position model. The record is from RNAcentral.
UAAGGAAUAUUGGUCAAUGGACGCAAGUCUGAACCAGCCAUGCCGCGUGAAGGAUGAAGGCCCUCUGGGUUGUAAACUUCUUUUAUAUGGGACGAAAAAAGUUUUUUCUAAAACAACUGACGGUACCAUGUGAAUAAGCACCGGCUAACUCCGUGCCAGCAGCCGCGGUAAUACGGAGGGUGCAAGCGUUAUCCGGAUUCACUGGGUUUAAAGGGAGCGUAGGUGGGCUGGUAAGUCAGUGGUGAAAUCCCCGAGCUUAACUCGGGAACUGCCAUUGAUACUAUUAGUCUUGAAUACUGUGGAGGUUAGCGGAAUAUGUCAUGUAGCGGUGAAAUGCUUAGAUAUGACAUAGAACACCAAUUGCGAAGGCAGCUGGCUACACAAUUAUUGACACUGAGGCUCGAAAGCGUGGGGAUCAAACAG